UUUUGACGUUUCUGGUGAAAGUACGGGAGACAGAAUGAUGAUUUCUGCCCCGCAUCCACGCAUUUAUUUGCCUGUGAUUACACAGAGUGCAAUAUCUAGGUACAAUUAUUUUCGAUUUUGAAUUUGUACAUUGUUGGGGAUGAGUGUUAGGGUUGGACAGGUGUGGUAAGUAUACAUGGUUUGGUAUUUUCUUACUUAUAAACAUUGCGUGGAUGGUAACAUUAACAUAUGGUUUUUGUUUGUUUACAUUUUAAAGGUUUAGGAAAUUUGCAUUUGUCAAUUAAAUUAAGUUUAAAAUUUGUAUUGUUUCUAUUUUCAGAUGCCCCCGCCAGAAGGACGGAAGCAUCGAGCCUCAGGAGUCAUUGCCGGUGGGGAAAGGGAGUUGUUUGUCCCAGUUAUUUGGAGCCGCAGGCUGCGCGCCAAUUUAAGAAAAAAGAGUUGGGCCAGCGUUUCUGGUAAGUAUUCAUGGUGUAAAUUUUGGCCGGCUGACAAGUGUGGUACUUUUUACCACCACAGCGGCCGUUAUUUUGCGUUUGAGUUUUCAUUUUUGUUACAGUAGUUUCACCAGUCGUCAGUGUUUUAUUUUCGUGUACAGAUCCCGCGCCGCCGUCAAUUUAUAUUUUAAUUUGCAGGAGGCUGCCAACCCGCCCAUGGGUCUCGUCGCCAGCCGUCAAAUGGUCCAAAGCGAAGUGGGUUCCCGCGCCGCCGUCUUAUUUCAAGGUCCAAGGAGUUGCUGCAUUUCAGCUGGAGUUCUUCAGUGCGUAGUGGAUUCCCGCGUCGCCGUCCCAUUCCAGGGUCCAGGGAGUUGCUGCACUUCAGUUGGAGUUCAUCAAUGUGUCGGCGAUAGCGUCGUCAUUGCUUUGGAGUCACCAGGGUCGUCGCUUCUGUGGGUCAUCUCGCCAGGGAAAGGAGGCAUCUUAUGGUCGCCGGGCCAAGAUGCUUUGCUUUGGGCCGACGCUCGUAAAUGUCCAUGGAAUUGGAUGCAGAAAAUUGGAUUAGAUAAGUAUAUCUAUGUGUUUAGUUUUGUUUUGUCUGAUUAUAGUUUUUGUUUUCUUUUGCAGGUCCAGAUUGUCCAGGAUUUUAAAUUUGUCCGGUGGGAUUUGGGUAGGAAAGCGAUGCCAUGGAUUUAUAAGAAGCAUCGUUGGGGAGGUUAUAUGUCAGUUUGGAUGUUUUCAGUUUACUGUUGCUGCCAGGAAAAAAGUCGAAUUCAGGGGUCAUGCUUUUGACCUUUUGCCAGGCCAGCAGCGCCGCGCUUAGGAUUCAGAAGGACGAGGGGGCAUCCUAGCAUGGAAAUGGCAUCAAAAAAUUAUGCGUUUUUAAUGUUUUAGUUGCCAGAAACUUCGUUUUUCGAUUGCGUCAAGAUGUUUUCAGUAUACUGUUGUUUCCAGGAAAAAAGACGAAUUCAAGGGUCACGCUUUUGACCUUUUGCCAGGUCAGCAGCGCCGCGCUUAGGAUUCAGAAGGACGAGGGGGCAUCCCAGCAAGGAAAUGGCAUCAAAACAUUAUGCGCUUUUAGUGUUUUAGUUGCCAAAAACUUCGUUUUCCGUUGCGUCUAGGAUAUUGUAGUUGCUACCGGGAAAAAUGUUGUAUUCAGGGGUCACGAUUUUGACCUUUUGCCGUGUCGGCAGCGCCGCACCAAGGGUCAAUAAAAUCGAGGGUGCUUCUUGACAUGGGGACGGCAUCAAAACUUUGUGCAUUUUUAUAUAUAUUAUUAUAUAUUACACUGUUAUAUGUUUUGAUUAAAUUAUUACAAUCUUUAACGGA
Molecule: RNA transcript, 1763 nt
Organism: Drosophila yakuba
Lineage: Eukaryota; Metazoa; Arthropoda; Insecta; Diptera; Drosophilidae
Exons: 4
Source: RefSeq, a predicted model, not a curated record